Sorghum bicolor (sorghum) is the source of this 3999-nucleotide RNA transcript. It is a transcript of the gene named 1-aminocyclopropane-1-carboxylate oxidase homolog 1, with no coding region annotated. The record is from RefSeq and is a predicted model, not a curated record. NCBI's taxonomy places the organism in Eukaryota, Viridiplantae, Streptophyta, Magnoliopsida, Poales, Poaceae. The transcript has 3 exons.
AGUCAGCGUCCUCCCUCCCACGCAGCACCAACCGAGGUUCUCGACUCUUGAGCAAUCCGCCAGCCAUGGCAUCCCCCACUCCUCCGGCGUCCCAGUCAGACCGCGCCGCGCUCCUCAAGGCCUUCGACGAGGCGCGCACGGGUGUCCGCGGCCUCGUGGAGUCCGGCGUCUCCUCAGUCCCCGCGCUCUUCAUCCAUCCGGACCCCUACGCCUCCGCGCCCCUUGCGCCGCCGGGCGCCUCCAUCCCCGUCGUCGACCUCUCCCUCCCCGCGCCCCUCGCCGCGGCGGCCGCCGCCGAGGCCGCCCGCAGCUGGGGCUUCUUCCACCUCGUCAACCACCACCAGGCCCUCGGCGUCCCCGAGGACUACCCCGCGCGGGCGCUCGCCGCCGUGCGCGCCUUCAACGAGCUCCCGGCCGCCGAGCGCGCCGCGCACUACGGCCGCGCCAUGCCCGGUGGGGUCUCCUACUCUUCCAACGUCGACCUGUACCGGUCCCCCGCCGCGAGCUGGCGUGACACCAUCCAGAUCGCGCUCGGGCCCAAUCGGCCCGACCCGGCGCGCAUCCCGGCAGUCUGCCGCGACGAGGUCCUCGAGUGGGACGCGCACGCCACCGCCGUCGGCUGCGCCGUGCUAGGGCUCCUUUCGGAGGGGCUCGAGCUCGGAUCCUCGAGGCUGGAGGCGGCUUCCUGCCUCGAGGGCAAGGUUAUGGUGUGUCACUACUAUCCAGUGUGCCCUGAGCCUGAGCGCACCAUGGGCCUUGUCCCGCACUCAGAUCCCGGCGUGCUCACCGUCCUGGCGCAGGAUGGUAUCGGUGGCCUGCAGGUGAAACAAAACGAUGAAGAUGGGACGAGCCGCUGGGUGGAUGUGAAGCCUGUGCCGGGUGCGCUUGUAAUCAACGUCGGGGACCUCUUGCAGAUCAUGUCUAAUGAUGAGUACAAGAGCGUUGACCAUCGCGUGAUUAUGAAUACACGAGAAGAAGCAAGAGUUUCAAUCGCAAUAUUUUUCAAUCCUGGCAAGAGAGGGGACAACGUUUUUUAUGGGCCACUGCCAGAGCUGGUUUCUUCAGAUAGUCGUAGUCCACCAAAGUACAGGAAUUUUACCAUGUCUGAGUUUCUGGGGGCCUUCUUUAGGCGAGACCUUGCCAGCAAAGCUCUGGUUGAGCACUUCAAAUUGUAAAUACUUAACCACAGUUACUUCAAACUGUAAUACUUUAUGUUUACAAACCCAACCCAACCAACAAAAGUUCAAACUUGUGCCAACACAUGUGACAGGUGAAUAAUGUAAGGAAAAAGUUUCUCUCGUAAAAGUCAUGCUACAGUCAUCCAGUUCCAUUAGAUUUAUGGUGGAGGUCAAAUGAAUGAUAGAUUGUUUCCUUGAUGCCAUCAAAUUAAUGCUGGACAGAAACAUGGACACAGACAUCAUUGGCUACUCUACUCACCUGAAAUUGGGAUGGGUGUCGCAUGCUGCCCAGAACUCUGCAUGGGUUCACUAGGCCUUGUUUGGAUGCGAUCAGAUUGACAUCAAUCCACAUGUGUUAGGGGUGGAUUAGGGUGGUACACCCCUAGCACAUGUGGAUUGAGGUGAAUCCGAUAACAUCCAAACAAGGCCUUAUAUGGACAUGAGCCCCUAGGGCUUGUAGUUUUACUUGUAAAAUUUCUUCAGUGUAUCUUAUCUAUUUGUUUUUUGAUAAUGGCAUAGCUUAUCUAUUGAAGCAAUCACUGAUUUAUUGUUUUUCAUUCCAAAUUCUGGCAUGGAAUUAUUGUUCAACAUCUAGAAUAUACAUUAUUGCUGCCAGUCCCCAGAAUAAGUGAAAGCUAACUUUUGUAAGCUUGUUACAUUGUUUAGCUACGUAUUUCAUACUUUAUCCCACAAAAUAUUUCUUAUUACAAGCUGUUCCAUUGUGAAAAAUUGUUGAUAUGGAAGCUGAACUGCCAAAGCAUCGGUCAGCAAAAGAGUUCACAUGUCCACAUCAACAGGGGUCACGUCUUGAAUAUUUUGGAUCUCUGAGAAGUAAGUCCGCUGAAAUGCUGAGAGAAUAUUUUUUUUCUCCAUGUUAAUCACUUAAUUACAAAUUCUUUGGAUGUACUUAUCAUUGAAGUUGAGAUAUAAUGUAAGUGUCAGUUUCAGAGGAAAUGCUGACAUUCCUUUCGCACUGUUCAUGCUUGCAAAUGUUGACACAAGGAUUCAUCACUUAACUUUUCCAAAAGAAACUGCUAUGAAUUGUUCCUGUAAUCCUUUUUAGAAGAAUCAGUUGGUAUACUGACCAUUUCAUCUGGUGUGGCUGUGUGGGUAUGUGUCUCCCCUUGCAUACUAUGGGUUAGUAGCCUUGCAAACUUUUAACUUUGACAUGCUUUUUGUGCUCGCCGGAAUGGUUAGUAGCCUGCAGUUGGAACAUAUUGGUGAGGAUGGGUAGAGCUAUUUGGGUUGAUGUAAAGCCUGUGGCCAUAAUUUUUGUGAUCAAUAUCAGCGAUGUUUUCCAGGUAAAAUGCAACACUUUGAUGCCCAAUCAAACUCAGUUCUGUGUUUCAAUUGUCUGAAUUGUUUGUGCUUCCUGUAGGGUUCGGAUCAAUGCAUAUAAGCUACUGUAGGAUUUACCUGCAUUUGAUCUUGUGCACUGAAGAGCUUUGACCUGCUACUUUUCAUUGAAACAGUAGAAAAAUUCAUUAACGGAGUUAGAGAAAGAUAUAGUAUAGUUCAUAUUUAUUUCAUAUACUGUGUGCGUUAUACCAUGGCAUUAAAAAUCUCUACUUUAUAGGUUUAUGCACAAGUAAACAGAAAUUGGGCUACUAUGCUACAACCUGUAGUUCUACAAACUUAUUAAUCAAGGAACUUCACAAUGACCUUGCUCCAUCUUUCUUUCUAACCAUUUCUUUCCACUAGAUAAUGGCUAAUUAUACUUGUAGAGCUAUGAAUAUUGUGUCACAAUGAAUUAGCUAGCAUGCCGAACCUGUACUUUUUAUUGUUACCGUUUUCUCCCAGUCGGGAUGAUGCAGGCCUCAAAUUAUAUGGAUCACUGCCCUAUCUGUGUCCUUGGAAAUUCAACACACAAAUUGUGAACUUGUGCGCAGGCGACCAUGUCAGUGUCACUACUGUACUCCAAUGCAAUUAUUUUACCUCAUAGAAGUCACGCUACUGCUGCUGCUUCUGUGUAAUUUGGCAUUAGGCAGUAACGCAUUUUUGACAUCCAGUUUUAUAUUGGAUCAAGGAGCUGAGCCUGGCCUAAAGGCUGGAUAAUCAGCUUGCGAAGGCUGCAAUGCUCUUUCGUUAAUGAGUCAGCUUAGUUGGUUUGCUGCCUUUUUAUGCCUUUUUGUAAAGCUCGCUUUGUUUAUGGAUCCAAAACAAGCAUUAUAUGCAUGGGUUUCUUUAUGGACUUCUUGUCUUACUGAGCUCUCCACUGCCCCCAUCCACUGUUCACAUGCAGCAACAGAAACAAAGAUUUUGCACAGAGAGCAUUCGGGAUCUUUUGCAGAAGCCAGAAGCUACUCAGCCAUUGCAUGUUGCAUUUCUCCUUAUGUUAGCUGUGGACACUUCAUACACACACUUCAUAGCAGUUGACAGCUUUUAACGAGAUAUGGUUGCUGCUGCUCAGACCUGAUACCUGUAUUGUAAUAGCUCUGGUUUUCUGUUCUGUUUCACAUAUUUAUUUACAGCGGCACACUGUUGUGUAGGAGCCUCUUGGAUCGUUGGUGUUGGGAGGCGAUCACUUGAUAUCUUAUCGAGUGGUUAAAGCCGUGUCUGAAAAGCUUGGAGGACAUGUUGACAUUCUUCAUCUUGAUAAAUAUCCAGAUGUCUAUGAUUGUUUUGAAGGAAAGAUUUAUUCACAUGCCUCUUCAUUUGUCAGCAGGAGACUGCUACAGAAACUUGGGGGAGGUGCAAACGGAGUGUAUGUGUCAUGCAGAUACUCCGUAAGUAAGUAAAAACGUGUCAUGUUUGUAUAUAAGACCUUGGCAUAACAUGUUGCUAUAUAACAAAGAUGUGUCAUAUGAUGUAUAUUAGUAUA